RNAcentral lists this ribosomal RNA (585 nucleotides) under uncultured bacterium. RNAcentral describes it as "partial 16S ribosomal RNA". It matches the Rfam family "Bacterial small subunit ribosomal RNA", at positions 355 to 1375 of the family's 1533-position model. The record is from RNAcentral.
UGGGGAAUUUUGGACAAUGGGCGAAAGCCUGAUCCAGCAAUGCCGCGUGUGUGAAGAAGGCCUUCGGGUUGUAAAGCACUUUUGUCCGGAAAGAAAUCCUUGGCUCUAAUACAGCCGGGGGAUGACGGUACCGGAAGAAUAAGCACCGGCUAACUACGUGCCAGCAGCCGCGGUAAUACGUAGGGUGCAAGCGUUAAUCGGAAUUACUGGGCGUAAAGCGUGCGCAGGCGGUUUGCUAAGACCGAUGUGAAAUCCCCGGGCUCAACCUGGGAACUGCAUUGGUGACUGGCAGGCUAGAGUAUGGCAGAGGGGGGUAGAAUUCCACGUGUAGCAGUGAAAUGCGUAGAGAUGUGGAGGAAUACCGAUGGCGAAGGCAGCCCCCUGGGCCAAUACUGACGCUCAUGCACGAAAGCGUGGGGAGCAAACAGGAUUAGAUACCCUGGUAGUCCACGCCCUAAACGAUGUCAACUAGUUGUUGGGGAUUCAUUUCCUUAGUAACGUAGCUAACGCGUGAAGUUGACCGCCUGGGGAGUACGGUCGCAAGAUUAAAACUCAAAUGAAUUGACGGGGUCAUAGCUGUUUCCU